This 1325-nucleotide ribosomal RNA is filed under the name Escherichia coli. Its description in RNAcentral is "partial 23S ribosomal RNA". It matches the Rfam family "Bacterial large subunit ribosomal RNA", at positions 418 to 1746 of the family's 2925-position model. The record is from RNAcentral. Lineage: Bacteria; Pseudomonadati; Pseudomonadota; Gammaproteobacteria; Enterobacterales; Enterobacteriaceae.
CGGGACACGUGGUAUCCUGUCUGAAUAUGGGGGGACCAUCCUCCAAGGCUAAAUACUCCUGACUGACCGAUAGUGAACCAGUACCGUGAGGGAAAGGCGAAAAGAACCCCGGCGAGGGGAGUGAAAAAGAACCUGAAACCGUGUACGUACAAGCAGUGGGAGCCUCUUUAUGGGGUGACUGCGUACCUUUUGUAUAAUGGGUCAGCGACUUAUAUUCUGUAGCAAGGUUAACCGAAUAGGGGAGCCGAAGGGAAACCGAGUCUUAACUGGGCGUUAAGUUGCAGGGUAUAGACCCGAAACCCGGUGAUCUAGCCAUGGGCAGGUUGAAGGUUGGGUAACACUAACUGGAGGACCGAACCGACUAAUGUUGAAAAAUUAGCGGAUGACUUGUGGCUGGGGGUGAAAGGCCAAUCAAACCGGGAGAUAGCUGGUUCUCCCCGAAAGCUAUUUAGGUAGCGCCUCGUGAAUUCAUCUCCGGGGGUAGAGCACUGUUUCGGCAAGGGGGUCAUCCCGACUUACCAACCCGAUGCAAACUGCGAAUACCGGAGAAUGUUAUCACGGGAGACACACGGCGGGUGCUAACGUCCGUCGUGAAGAGGGAAACAACCCAGACCGCCAGCUAAGGUCCCAAAGUCAUGGUUAAGUGGGAAACGAUGUGGGAAGGCCCAGACAGCCAGGAUGUUGGCUUAGAAGCAGCCAUCAUUUAAAGAAAGCGUAAUAGCUCACUGGUCGAGUCGGCCUGCGCGGAAGAUGUAACGGGGCUAAACCAUGCACCGAAGCUGCGGCAGCGACGCUUAUGCGUUGUUGGGUAGGGGAGCGUUCUGUAAGCCUGUGAAGGUGUACUGUGAGGUAUGCUGGAGGUAUCAGAAGUGCGAAUGCUGACAUAAGUAACGAUAAAGCGGGUGAAAAGCCCGCUCGCCGGAAGACCAAGGGUUCCUGUCCAACGUUAAUCGGGGCAGGGUGAGUCGACCCCUAAGGCGAGGCCGAAAGGCGUAGUCGAUGGGAAACAGGUUAAUAUUCCUGUACUUGGUGUUACUGCGAAGGGGGGACGGAGAAGGCUAUGUUGGCCGGGCGACGGUUGUCCCGGUUUAAGCGUGUAGGCUGGUUUUCCAGGCAAAUCCGGAAAAUCAAGGCUGAGGCGUGAUGACGAGGCACUACGGUGCUGAAGCAACAAAUGCCCUGCUUCCAGGAAAAGCCUCUAAGCAUCAGGUAACAUCAAAUCGUACCCCAAACCGACACAGGUGGUCAGGUAGAGAAUACCAAGGCGCUUGAGAGAACUCGGGUGAAGGAACUAGGCAAAAUGGUGCCGUAACUUCGGGAGAAGG